GACGAACGCUGGCGGCGUGCCUAAUACAUGCAAGUAGAACGCUGAAGGAGGAGCUUGCUUCUCCGGAUGAGUUGCGAACGGGUGAGUAACGCGUAGGUAACCUGCCUGGUAGCGGGGGAUAACUAUUGGAAACGAUAGCUAAUACCGCAUAACAGUAGAUGUUGCAUGACAUUUGCUUAAAAGGUGCAAUUGCAUCACUACCAGAUGGACCUGUGUUGUAUUAGCUAGUUGGUGAGGUAACGGCUCACCAAGGCGACGAUACAUAGCCGACCUGAGAGGGUGAUCGGCCACACUGGGACUGAGACACGGCCCAGACUCCUACGGGAGGCAGCAGUAGGGAAUCUUCGGCAAUGGACGGAAGUCUGACCGAGCAACGCCGCGUGAGUGAAGAAGGUUUUCGGAUCGUAAAGCUCUGUUGUAAGAGAAGAACGAGUGUGAGAGUGGAAAGUUCACACUGUGACGGUAUCUUACCAGAAAGGGACGGCUAACUACGUG
Molecule: ribosomal RNA, 495 nt
Filed under: uncultured bacterium
Lineage: Bacteria
Description: partial 16S ribosomal RNA
Rfam family: Bacterial small subunit ribosomal RNA
Source: RNAcentral